AGUCACAUCACAUUGAAACACCAGUUCCUGUAAAAUCACCAAAGUUAAGCAAUGUUGAGCCUAGUUAGUAACUAGAUGGGUCAUCACUUAGGAAUACCAGGUGCUGUAA
Non-coding RNA from Acanthosepion pharaonis, 109 nucleotides. Lineage: Eukaryota; Metazoa; Mollusca; Cephalopoda; Sepiida; Sepiidae. The record is from the annotation of a GenBank genome assembly.